UACCCAAACCACUUUUGAAUCUUGUCAACUUUGUCUGCAGCUUGAGGACUAGAAAGUGAGGGGAGUGGAGAGUGAUUCACAAGGUGCAAGGAAAGAAAUCCUAAAAACAAAUGAACAAAUGGACUCGGUCCACGGACACCUAGCCAAGACUGUCUCUGAGAAGAAUGACAUGCCUUCAGCAUGAAGUAGCUACAAGAAAAGGACAUGUAAUUAAGGAGGAAAAAAAAAAUCAGAAACUGGAGCCAUUAAAGAGACUGUGAUAUGAGGAAAACAUUGUACAGGAGAUGU
This 288-nucleotide long non-coding RNA is filed under the name Homo sapiens (human). RNAcentral describes it as "HSALNT0011074". Lineage: Eukaryota; Metazoa; Chordata; Mammalia; Primates; Hominidae. The record is from RNAcentral.